AUUUUAUUUAUUACUAGCUUGAGCACGCAACUUCGUCCGCGUAGGCUACAUAAUUUGAAACCCCUAUUUAACUCCCUUAGAAGUUGAAUUUUCAAAAAUCCUUUCUUAGCGGUUGUCUACGUCAUAAUAGCUAUCUGAUGUCUUUCAGCCUGAUCAGUCCAGUAGUUUGAGCUGUGCGUUGAUAGAUCAGUCAGUCAAUCAGUCAGUCAGUCA
Maniola jurtina (meadow brown) is the source of this 213-nucleotide long non-coding RNA. RefSeq lists it as uncharacterized. Lineage: Eukaryota; Metazoa; Arthropoda; Insecta; Lepidoptera; Nymphalidae. The record is from RefSeq and is a predicted model, not a curated record. The transcript is spliced from 3 exons.